RNAcentral lists this unclassified non-coding RNA (1419 nucleotides) under uncultured Neocallimastigales. Its description in RNAcentral is "partial contains small subunit ribosomal RNA, internal transcribed spacer 1, 5.8S ribosomal RNA, internal transcribed spacer 2, and large subunit ribosomal RNA". The stretch from base 662 to 1419 matches the Rfam family "Eukaryotic large subunit ribosomal RNA", at positions 1 to 617 of the family's 3401-position model. The record is from RNAcentral. Lineage: Eukaryota; Fungi; Neocallimastigomycota; Neocallimastigomycetes; Neocallimastigales.
UUUCCGUAGGUGAACCUGCGGAAGGAUCAUUAAAAAUUGGACUCCAUUGGUGAGUUCAUUAAUAAUCCCUACCCUUUGUGAAUUUGUUUGUUUGAAUAAUUUUUUUCCAAAAAAAAAUUUAUUGAAUGUCUUUCCCUGUUUUGGUGGAGCUUGUAAAGUGAAACCAGGCAGGGGAAUGGCAAACAAUAAUUAUUUUUUGAAAAAAGACCUUUUUUAAAAUUAAACUUUUUGUAUUCAUUUGUCUAAAAUUAUUUUUAUAAUAUAAAAACAACUUUUGACAAUGGAUCUCUUGGUUCUCGCAACGAUGAAGAACGCAGCAAAAUGCGAUAAGUAGUGUGAAUUGCAGAAUACGUGAAUCAUCGAAUCUUCGAACGCAUAUUGCACUUUUUUAGUUUACUAAAAAAGUAUGUCUGUUUGAGUAUCAGUAAAAUAUUCUCAUAAAAAACAUUGUUUUUUUAUGGUUAUGAGUGUUUUACAACGAUAACAAGUUGUUUCACUUUAAAUUCUUUGUUAUCAAAAAAAUCAUUAAAAGCUAAUUUUAAAGAUUUUUUAAAAUUGGAUAAAAUUUUCCCGUAAAAAGGAAUAACCUAAACAAUUUUAAAAAAAUUAAAAUUGGUUUGAUUUUUUUUGAAACCCAAAGGAAAAAAAAACGAAAUUAACUUGAUCUCAAAUCAGAUAAGAGUACCCGCUGAACUUAAGCAUAUCAAUAAGCGGAGGAAAAGAAACUAACUAGGAUUCCCUCAGUAACGGCGAGUGAAGCGGGAAGAGCUCAAAUUUGAAAUCUUCAAGGUUUUACCUUGACGAAUUGUAGUUUAAAGAAGUGUUUUCUGUUGGAGUUUUGGUAAAAGUUCUUUGGAAAAGGACAUCAUAGAGGGUGAGAAUCCCGUAUUUGACCAUUAUCUCCAGCUUUGUGAUACACUUUCAAAGAGUCGGAUUGUUUGGGAAUGCAGUCCAAAAUGGGUGGUAAAUUUCAUCUAAAGCUAAAUACUGGCGAGAGACCGAUAGCGAACAAGUACCGUGAGGGAAAGAUGAAAAGAACUUUGAAAAGAGAGUUAAACAGUACGUGAAAUUGUCAAAAGGGAAGCGUUUGACACCAGUGUUGUUUUCUCGAAAAUCAAUUAAAAAAGGCCGGAUUUUGUGUUGUAUUAACUUUAUCAGCUUUCUGCACUUUUUUCUUGUCUUUUUUAAUGCACUUUUCGUUUAACAAGUCAACAUCAAUUUCUUUUGUUGUAAAAGGGUCAUUGGAAGGUGGCUUUCUUUUCGGAGAAAGUGUUUAUAGCCUUUGGCCUCUGCAAUCGGAGAGAUUGAGGUCUGCAGCGUAGAUCCUUCGGGGUUAGAUACAUUUGUGCUAAGUUAUAGCCUUUCAUAGACAACUUGUUGACUAUGAUCAGUCAUGUAGCUUACUCGCUUAUGCUAUUU